CCUACGGGUGGCAGCAGUGGGGAAUAUUGGGCAAUGGUCGCAAGCCUGCCCCAGCAACGCCGCGUGAAGGAAGAAGGCUUUCGGGUUGUAAACUUCUUUUCUCAGGGCCGAAGCAAGUGACGGUACCUGAGGAAUAAGCCACGGCUAACUACGUGCCAGCAGCCGCGGUAAUACGUCGGUGGCAAGCGUUAUCCUGAUUUACUGGGUGUAAAGGGCGGGUAGGCGGGACUGCAAGUCAGAUGUGAAAACCACGGGCUCAACCUGUGGCCUGCAUUUGAAACUUUAGGUCUUGAGUACUGGAGAGGCAGACGGAAUUCCUAGUGUAGCGGUGAAAUGCGUAGAUAUUAGGAGGAACACCAGUGGCGAAGGCGGUCGGCUGGACAGCAACUGACGCUGAGGCGCGAAAGCGUGGGGAGCAAACAGGAUUAGAUACCCCUGUAGUC
This 443-nucleotide ribosomal RNA is filed under the name uncultured bacterium. RNAcentral describes it as "partial 16S ribosomal RNA". It matches the Rfam family "Bacterial small subunit ribosomal RNA", at positions 338 to 795 of the family's 1533-position model. The record is from RNAcentral.